UACAGAGGUCCCGAGCGUUGUUCGGAUUCACUGGGCGUAAAGGGUGCGUAGGUGGUGAGGUAAGUCGGAUGUGAAAUCUCCGAGCUCAACUCGGAAAUGGCAUUGGAAACUACCUUGCUCGAGGGUUGGAGGGGGGACUGGAAUACUUGGUGUAGCAGUGAAAUGCGUAGAUAUCAAGUGGAACACCAGUGGCGAAGGCGGGUUGCUGGGCUGACACUGACGCUGAAGCGCGAAAGCUAGGGGAGCGAACGGG
RNAcentral lists this ribosomal RNA (253 nucleotides) under uncultured bacterium. Its description in RNAcentral is "partial 16S ribosomal RNA". It matches the Rfam family "Bacterial small subunit ribosomal RNA", at positions 524 to 776 of the family's 1533-position model. The record is from RNAcentral.